GAGUUUGAUCGUGGCUCAGAUUGAACGCUGGCGGUAGGCCUAACACAUGCAAGUCGAACGGCAGCACAGGAGAGCUUACUCUCUGGGUGGCGAGUGGCGGACGGGUGAGGAAUACAUCGGAAUCUACCUUUUCGUGGGGGAUAACGUAGGGAAACUUACGCUAAUACCGCAUACGACCUACGGGUGAAAGUGGGGGACCGCAAGGCCUCACGCGAUUAGAUGAGCCGAUGUCCGAUUAGCUAGUUGGUGGGGUAAUGGCCUACCAAGGCGACGAUCAGUAGCCGGCCUGAGAGGGCGGACGGCCACACUGGGACUGAGACACGGCCCAGACUCCUACGGGAGGCAGCAGUGGGGAAUUGUUCGCAAUGGGCGCAAGCCUGACGACGCAACGCCGCGUGGAGGAUGAAGAUCUUCGGGUCGUAAACUCCUGUCGAGCGGGAAGAACACCUGCAGGGCGAAUAUCCAUGCAGGCUGACGGUACCGCUAAAGGAAGCCCCGGCUAACUCCGUGCCAGCCGCCGCA
This 522-nucleotide ribosomal RNA is filed under the name uncultured Gammaproteobacteria bacterium. RNAcentral's name for it is "bacterial SSU rRNA". It matches the Rfam family "Bacterial small subunit ribosomal RNA", at positions 9 to 519 of the family's 1533-position model. The record is from RNAcentral. Lineage: Bacteria; Pseudomonadati; Pseudomonadota; Gammaproteobacteria.